Anaerobacillus alkalilacustris is the source of this 86-nucleotide non-coding RNA. Lineage: Bacteria; Bacillati; Bacillota; Bacilli; Caryophanales; Bacillaceae. The record is from Rfam.
GAACGCCGUAUGACACUGAAAGGGUCACGUACGGUGUGAGAUGGGGGAAAAGCUGGAGAUAACUUCAAAUGCUUACCUAUCAUCAU